RNAcentral lists this ribosomal RNA (467 nucleotides) under uncultured bacterium. RNAcentral describes it as "partial 16S ribosomal RNA". It matches the Rfam family "Bacterial small subunit ribosomal RNA", at positions 28 to 506 of the family's 1533-position model. The record is from RNAcentral.
GACGAACGCUGGCGGCGUGCUUAACACGUGCAAGUCGAACGGAAAGGCCCUGCUUUUGUGGGGUGCUCGAGUGGCGAACGGGCGAGUAACACGUGAGUAACCUGCCCUUGACUUUGGGAUAACUUCAGGAAACUGGGGCUAAUACCGGAUAGGAGCUCCUGCUGCAUGGUGGGGGUUGGAAAGUUUCGGCGGUUGGGGAUGGACUCGCGGCUUAUCAGCUUGUUGGUGGGGUAGUGGCUUACCAAGGCUUUGACGGGUAGCCGGCCUGAGAGGGUGACCGGCCACAGUGGGAUUGAGGAACGGCCCAUGCUCCCACGGGAGGCAGGGGGGGGGAAUUGUGCAAAAUGGGCGGAAGCCUGGUGGAGCCACGCCGCGUGGGGGAGGACGGCCUUCGGGGUGUAAACCGCUUUCGCCUGUAACGAAGCGGGGUGGGCGGGAAUGGGUAAAGGAACCCCGGCGAACUACUG